This 253-nucleotide ribosomal RNA is filed under the name uncultured bacterium. Its description in RNAcentral is "partial 16S ribosomal RNA". It matches the Rfam family "Bacterial small subunit ribosomal RNA", at positions 524 to 776 of the family's 1533-position model. The record is from RNAcentral.
UACGGAGGGUGCGAGCGUUGUUCGGAAUUAUUGGGCGUAAAGCGCUGGUAGGUGGCUUGUUAAGUCGCGUGUGAAAGCUCCAGGCUCAACCUGGAAAGUGCGCGCGAAACUGGCGAGCUUGAGUGCCGGAGAGGGUCGCGGAAUUCCCGGUGUAGAGGUGAAAUUCGUAGAUAUCGGGAGGAACACCAGAGGCGAAGGCGGCGACCUGGAAGGUAACUGACACUGAGCAGCGAAAGCGUGGGGAGCAAACAGG